This 1485-nucleotide long non-coding RNA is filed under the name Equus asinus (donkey). RNAcentral's name for it is "lncRNA (ENSEASG00005031912.1)". The record is from RNAcentral. Lineage: Eukaryota; Metazoa; Chordata; Mammalia; Perissodactyla; Equidae.
CCCUUGGGGACCAGCAGGCCGAGACCCACCCUCUGCUCUGGCUGUGGUCUCGGGACGGGCCCAAGUCCCUGCUCAGAGAGGUGCUAGGCGAACCAUCCAGCUCAUUCUUCUUGGGGACCGGCUCCACAGGGGCUGUGGAUUUGCUUUCGGUGUUGUUUAAAAAAAAAAAAGAAAAUAUAUUUUUUUGAAGAAAGGUCUGCCCAUCCUGGGUCCUAUCCCUGAUGGAUUAGGGCAGUUAUCUGAUUGCUGUUUUAAUUAAAAACAAAACAAAACAAAGUGGCACAAAAGGUUCUGUGAGACUGUGUAUCAUGAGGGCAAGCCCCACUCCUCGGGGAAGGUCUGUGGCCCUAGAAGGACCCCUGUCCCAGGGCCAGGGCAGUGUGGUAGGGAGAGCAGGGGCCUGCCCACUAAGCCUUCACCCAUGAGGACACCAGAGUUCCCAGGGGGCUGUGAGCAGGUCCCAGGCCCUGUGCCAGGUGCUGGACAGAGCAGCAGGCCCAGGCUGCUGGCAGGGCUGCUGUCCCACUGUCAUUGAGGAUUCACUGCCAGAUACACAGGGCGCCGAGCACAUGCCAGGUGCUGCACCCAGGGCUGGCACUGUCACCUCGUUGAGAAGACAGGCCCAGAGAGCUGAAGUCACUUGUCCAGAGCCACAAAACUUGUACGAUGGAGAAACUGAGGCUUGGGACGGGGAGCAGCCUCCUGCGAGAGGGCUCUGAGGGGGGGGGAGAGCAGCUAGAGGAAGGCCUGCGUGCCAGCGUCCAGUGUGGCUCUGUGAUCCUUGAGGCCUGGGCUGCGGCAGCAACCUUCCUCCGUCAGAACGGAGUUUAUAGUGUUUGCUCCCGUGAGCAGAACUCUACUGCUUCAGGCAUAGCUGCAUCCAGGGCCCCGGUUAAUAUCCCAAAGCACCUGAGCUCAGUUUCCCACUUCCUUCCUGUGGACGAGGCAGGACCCAGUAAAGCCUGCAAACUCAGCCGCCCCAGUCCUAGGGCUCUUAUUGGCUGGGGAGGAGUCACGUGCUCAUCCGCAAGCCAAUCACAGGCCAGGAGGGGUAAACCCGGGCGAGGGGCGGCACAGGCCCGACGGUCUGGGAGCGGCCCUAGUCCUCGGGCGGAGCCGGGCGUGUUCCCCGGCGGCCGCCGCCCCCCGCAGCCCGCGGGCUGGACAGGCCUCGGCCGUCCACGUCCCUGGCGCAGCGCUCGGCCCGCCGCGCUCCCACGUGGGGGCCGCGCUCGCCUGCGGCCUUUGCUCGACCGUGCCCUCCGCCGGAGCCCCCGCCGCACGCCUGCGCUCCUUGCCGCCCGCGGGGCCCGCCAGCGCGCCACCUUCAUCUGGGCGGACGCGACGAGCCGCUGUCGCGUCCCCGGUGCCGACACCGACGGACGCUCGGCUAACCUGGGUCGAACGGACGCGCGAGUCCCGCAGCCCUGAGUGCGCGUGCGCGCACGGCCCCCCGCGCGCAGGGCCGGCGGACUGAGUCCCGGG